Pelobates fuscus (common spadefoot toad) is the source of this 1152-nucleotide long non-coding RNA. RefSeq lists it as uncharacterized. The transcript is spliced from 4 exons. Lineage: Eukaryota; Metazoa; Chordata; Amphibia; Anura; Pelobatidae. The record is from RefSeq and is a predicted model, not a curated record.
UCGUUAUGCAAUUUUAUGUUAUAUAAAAUACAAACAAAAUGUCGUCUUUUGAUUUCUCUGUAUUCUUCAGAGGAGGAUUCUUGGGGAAGAUCUCUGGCUAUGCCCUGUGAACUUCGGGGCUCACUGGAUUUUAGUGGUAUUUACUAUAGGACUACGUUAAUUAACCUUUCUUUACUUGUGUUAUCGUGUGCUUUUAUAAUUCAUGUAAUUAUGUUACAUAUACAGAUAUUUACCUACAUCCCUCUGACACCGCAGAACACACCUGCUGUAUACACCAAUAAUAUGAAUGUCAUAAAGAAAAUGUUGUGUUUUCCCGAAUUAUCUUUUAGAUUGUCAUCAUGUCGAAGAAGGUUAUUGUGCUAAUUGACCCACUGGGAAAUGAACCUGAUUAUCUAUUGACAGUACAGCACAACUGGAGUAUGUUCUUGAAGAAGUAUAUUCCUGAAGAAGUAGCCCAAUGGAAUAUCCAUGUAAUGCACCACAGCAACCAGGAGGUUCCAGCAGCUGUGGAGUUUUGAUCUUGAUGUUUGCCAAGGAGUUUCUUCAGACCAGAACCAUACAUGCAGUGAAGACCUCUGCAGAAGAUGUAGCUAAUGCACGACUGGAAAUAUCUUCUGCCCUACUCCAGUAUAAAGUUCCAGAAGGAAGGAGCAAACCCAUUUGAGGAGUCCCUGCAUAAGAGACUAUUGGAUACUGAAGGGCUGUACUACAGUGGCGGCUCUAGACUUGGCAAGGCCUUAGUCGAAACUCAUACAUGAGGCCACCACAAACACCAUUAUUGGGAAAAAAAAAAAAAAAAUAGCAGUUGACUUUGUGUAUAAGAAGCUGUAGAUAUGUUGAUAGGGGAGCUUCCAGCACUGGAUACAGAGAGCUAGUCUCUGUUUACAUUGUUGCAUUGUCUACCUGAGUGUGUGUGUCUGGCAGUGAGUAUGCUUGUAUCUGUAUGUAUGUUUCUCUGAGCAAGUGUAUGUUUGUGUACGGCCUUUGGCACUGAGUUUAUGGCGAAGCUCUGUUUUAUGACAGUGGGUAUAAUGAUUGCCUUCAGGGGGUGGCAGGGUGAGUGUAAAAGAGCAGGAGGGUGCCAGAGUGUUGACAGUGUGUAUGGAGGGAGGUGCCAAAGUGCGGAGAGUGGUGCCCGUGUGAGAAUAGAUG